This is a small nucleolar RNA of Dioscorea cayenensis subsp. rotundata (Guinea yam), 107 nucleotides long. The record is from RefSeq and is a predicted model, not a curated record. NCBI's taxonomy places the organism in Eukaryota, Viridiplantae, Streptophyta, Magnoliopsida, Dioscoreales, Dioscoreaceae.
AACCUAUGUUGAGGACAUUUCCAGAAGAGCUCCUUGAACCUAUCCCAUGUCUCAAAAAGAGACUUGAAUUCUAUUUGGACAAAAGAAGAUAUCUCAUUCCUGAGCUU